This 224-nucleotide long non-coding RNA is filed under the name Manihot esculenta (cassava). RNAcentral's name for it is "long non-coding RNA (MESC_LNC004060)". The record is from RNAcentral. Lineage: Eukaryota; Viridiplantae; Streptophyta; Magnoliopsida; Malpighiales; Euphorbiaceae.
GGCCGCCGAAAGUGCCGCCGAAGGUGCUCUGUUUUGCCUUCCUUUGCAUGAAUUGUCAUGCAUGUUUAUGAGGCUUUAGAAGGGUUUUGGGAAGGUGUUUUAGAGUUCUGCUAGAGAUGUUUAACACCUCAUAAGAGUCCUUGUGUGUAGGAUUUGAGCAGAGAAGAGGUGUUUAGCUACAGUACAAAGUUGGCCCAAGUAGUAGAGCAGAGGCUUCAGGUGAG